GACGAACGCUGGCGGCGUGCUUAACACAUGCAAGUCGAACGGAAAGGCCCUGCUUUUGUGGGGUGCUCGAGUGGCGAACGGGUGAGUAACACGUGAGUAACCUGCCCUUGACUUUGGGAUAACUUCAGGAAACUGGGGCUAAUACCGGAUAGGAGCUCCUGCUGCAUGGUGGGGGUUGGAAAGUUUCGGCGGUUGGGGAUGGACUCGGGGCUUAUCAGCUUGUUGGUGGGGUAGUGGCUUACCAAGGCUUUGACGGGUAGCCGGCCUGAGAGGGUGACCGGCCACAUUGGGACUGAGAUACGGCCCAGACUCCUACGGGAGGCAGCAGUGGGGAAUAUUGCACAAUGGGCGGAAGCCUGAUGCAACAACGCCGCGUGCGGGAUGACGGCCUUCGGGUUGUAAACCGCUUUCGCCUGUGACGAAGCGUGAGUGACGGUAAUGGGUAAAGAAGCACCGGCUAACUACGUG
Molecule: ribosomal RNA, 468 nt
Filed under: uncultured bacterium
Lineage: Bacteria
Description: partial 16S ribosomal RNA
Rfam family: Bacterial small subunit ribosomal RNA
Source: RNAcentral